AAUUACAUCGGGAUCGAAGUCGGGCUCGAAAAGCAAUUUAUUUAAAAACAACACACCGCGCCGAAAUUCAAUUUUUUGGAGAGUUCCACGCAGCCAUGUUGAACUUGAUCAUGAUGUUGUACGGGAGGAAGGGGCGAAAGAGAUUUACUCGAAAAGGAGAAGCAUGAUAAACUUUGGAUGGAAUUUAUGUUUUAACAGAAGAUGAAGACAUUUACGACCCUGUUUAGCGUUGCAGUGUGGACUGUGCCUGAGACGAUUCCCCAUAACGCCGGCUAUGUAGACAGCUUGUGAAAAUGGAAAUGCUCACAAGAAAUGACAAAAGCAGUAUGAAGAUUAACACAACGAAAUUGUGCCAGAAAAGUUUGAAGUAGCUAUGGGAAUGAUCAACAUUGAACUUGCUGAGGCUCUCUUCCUGAAAGUGACUUGACCAGAUAUUUGGCUACCCAGUAUGAGUAUCUUUCUGCUACAUUAAAUAAAAUAUCGUGGAGGAACACGAAGAAAAGGGCUGCGCACCUCAACAUAUUCAAGGUCAAGCAGCUUUUUACCAUAUCCAUAGUAUCUUGCUGCUAAAUGAAAGAAUUAGUGUGGAGGA
Saccostrea cuccullata (small rock oyster) is the source of this 592-nucleotide long non-coding RNA. RefSeq lists it as uncharacterized. NCBI's taxonomy places the organism in Eukaryota, Metazoa, Mollusca, Bivalvia, Ostreida, Ostreidae. The transcript has 6 exons. The record is from RefSeq and is a predicted model, not a curated record.